This is a non-coding RNA of Schizosaccharomyces pombe (fission yeast), 292 nucleotides long. Lineage: Eukaryota; Fungi; Ascomycota; Schizosaccharomycetes; Schizosaccharomycetales; Schizosaccharomycetaceae. The record is from the annotation of a GenBank genome assembly.
AUUCGAAGAAAAAAUCAGUGCCUAGAAGUUGAAUUGUAAGCCAACCGUGAUUAAUUAUUUUUAAAAUGCAGUCAACCCAAUUUUGACACGAAAUGUCAUCGAAAUCUGGUGUUUGCUAAUACUCUAUAGAAUGAGAACCUAGCAGUAACACUUGAGAAAGAAAAAAGAAGAACAAUUAAAGUAAAAUCUCUUCUCUAAAUGAUAAAAUCCUUUCUCACCUACUAUGCACUGUUUUGCGAUUAUAUUAAGUCGUGAAGUACCGGUAAACCCGUUUUUGUGUUUGGUUGCAAAC